This 160-nucleotide ribosomal RNA is filed under the name uncultured bacterium. RNAcentral describes it as "partial 16S ribosomal RNA". It matches the Rfam family "Bacterial small subunit ribosomal RNA", at positions 358 to 510 of the family's 1533-position model. The record is from RNAcentral.
GGAAUCUUCCACAAUGGGCGCAAGCCUGAUGGAGCAACACCGCGUGAGUGAAGAAGGGUUUCGGCUCGUAAAGCUCUGUUGUUAAAGAAGAACACGUAUGAGAGUAACUGUUCAUACGUUGACGGUAUUUAACCAGAAAGUCACGGCUAACUACGUGCCA